CACUGGAGCAGUUGCCUUGUUAAGUGGAGGAAAAAUGUCACAGUUCUUACUUUGCUUUUGGUUGUAGUUCCCUUUUCCCCUUUUCUUCCAUUUCCCCUUUCCCUCAAUUUCUGUGAGCAAUCAAAACCAAUAUAAUAUGCUAUGUUUAUCUGGUUUUGUGGGAAGGUAUUUUAGAGUUGAGUAUGUCUGCUUGAAAAAGGGCUCUCCUCUGCUUUCUCUGAAGUUAAACUAAAAAAGUCUCUUAAUGUAUGUGAACCAUGAGUCUAGAUUAGCUAAAUAGUUUUUAUUUUCUUUCUGAUUAUAUUCACUGUGUCAUCAAUCCUGCAUUUAAGGUGCUUGUUGCAAUGUCUUAGCUUUCCUCAAGGAAUCUAUAACACUCAUCUCUUCCCAAGAGAGGUGUUGGAGGACAUGCUUUUUCUACUAAAAUGUGUUUGAUUUAAUCCCUAGUGGUCCCUAGAACUCCUUAGGCUGCUACUAGGUUGUAGUGUCUGGGGAAGAGAAGGGUGCAAGAAGAAAAGGAGGAGCCAAACCAUUUUUAUGGGACAGUGAUCCUCAAAGUGAGGGCCAUGUCAGCUCCCUGAUGAAUCCUGGGAUAAGUUCAAGCAUCAAGAUAGCUGGGCAAAACUUGUUCACGCAUGGCCCCACUUACUCCCUCACCCCUCUACCUCAGAAUGGGACUUGCCUGGGUGCUAAACAUCCUGUGUGCCUCAGCACCUGACACAGAGGGUGGAAACCAGCUGGGUUAGGUGCUGCCUUUCCCCUUGGGAAAUGGAGUUACUGCCCAUGCUCUGCGAGAGUGGAAGGCCUUGGAUGCACCCCCUCUUCUCUCUCUUCAUCUCCCUUCUUUCUGCGUAUUCCAUGCACGUAUGUGGGAUCCGCUGGGGAGGGUUGAGGGGUCUGAGCACUGCUUUUGUGAAGGAUGUGUUGAAAAGUUGUGACAAAGCUGUGUCAUCUGGAUAUUCCUGUGUAAAUUUUGAAAGUUUCCAUGGGAACUUACUGCUGGCCUUUGCACUUUGAUGUCUAGAUGCUUGUUAUGUGGAUGCCCUAAACUUUCUGUCUAUAAUAAGGAUAUUAAUUCUUUUGGUAUUUUGUUUUUUACAGGACUAUUAUGACUUGGACUGCUUUUCUCUUGACUCAUGAGAAUGGCAAUUGGUAACCUACUAAUAUUUCUGCCCACAAGGGUUUGUAAUUUUAGAAGUAAUCACUUCAUGGCUGAUGUAAAUUUUGUAAUGAGAAAUACUAGAUUUAUGACUGCAGGAUUUCUCACAGACUGUUUUAUUGCUUAGAGGAAUUGCUUUCUCUGUUGGGAAAAUCCAUCAUUAGAUGUCUGCCUCAAAUGUUUUGUGGGCUGUUUAUGCUUGGAGAAUGUUAAUGCAAUCAUUGAAACAAUAACUAUGAUUUGAGAUAGUAUAAUUGUUCCCCUUUCCUUUACUCCAGACAGAAAGAGAGCUGCCAAUGAAGUUAGGCAUAGGUCUGUAAGAGGACUUUACAGUCAGAAUGUAGUUGCAAUGUCUGGUCAUUUGGUUCUUGCCCCAUCUUUUAAGGUCAUUCUGCUUUCCUGGAAUAGGUAACUGAUUUCUGUACAUACUAGCUAAGAAGAGUUGUUUGGAAGAGUUCAGGAUACACCACCUCUGUCAUGGCAAUGAUAAUAACUGAUUUUGAGGAAAGUUUUUACUGCUGCAUUUUUGUGUGGAGGCUGUCUAGGUAAAAAUACUUCUUGCCUGUGGGACUGAUGUUCUUGGGCAGGAUGUUAGGGGGAGAAACUGCAGUUCCAGAUGAAGAUCAGACCUCGAAGAUGUGAAUUUCUCAGACAUACUGGAGCUGAGGUGUUUCCAGCCAUGCCUGCUGGAUGUGGAUAUUUUGGGACCUACCUUGCUCUUGUAAUGAAAACCUUAGCAUCUCCAGGGUUAGUUGAUGUAGGUUUUGAGAAUUAAAAGUUCUGUUUUGAAAUAUAAAAUAUGGGUACCUAGUACUGGAAUUUACAGUGGAUCUGUGGCCAAUGUUUUCUGUAGGCUUGUGCUCUCCAGUGAUUUAUUGUGGCUCUGCUGCGUGGUGUUGGGCAGUGGGCACUGCCUAGAGGCUCUACAGGUCCUCAGGCUGUUUCUGAGCAACUGCUGGGUGAGCAUGACAGAAGGGUGCUUGGUUUAUCAACUCUUCCUAUUACUCCCACAUAAAGAUGAGCUAGUAUGGUCUGGGAGCACUAGACAAUAACUGCAUGAACAUUACUGUUGUUGCAGCUAAAGAAGUUGCUGUUAUGUAUAGUUUUAUUUUUGGUUUAUGUGCUCUUUCACUGUGAGUGGAGUAUGAGUGUGCUUUUGUAUUUAAGUGAAGAUAACUGCUAAGCUUUCUAUUUUAAUUUAGUAUCAUUUUGCCAGCACUAUGCCAGUAGCAUAUCUCAGUAGAGAAACUGCUUCAGUCAGCAAGGUCUUUCCUUCUUGGGUCUGCAUCUAUAAAAAGAAAUAGAAGAGAGAAUGAGAAUGAGAGAACGAUCUUGGAACCAUCAUGCUUUGAAAGCAGUACCAUGUAACCUCUAGUACCUUAAUUUCUCAAAUAUAUUUUUCCUACAUGUACUCUAGUGCUGCUAAAGGCAUCUGUUUUGUGGAGCACAGGCAGCAGGGUAGAGAUGAAGGUGUGAACCCUUCCUUGUCUGAGUCACUCACCUAGUCCUUUUGCAUCCUGCUAUAUCUCAUUUUGCCCCAGUGCCUGCUCUUAAGGACCUGACUGAAGCCCUCGUGUCACUUCACUGCUUCUGUGAAGCUGCAUUGUUGCUUGGAUUAGCAUUUCUUUUCAUUUCUUACUUUCUGUGUGCAAUAGGUGUAUUCUGGGUGGAAACAUAUGCUACUGGAGAAUCACCUUUGAUGUAUUGGAGUUUUAAAUCUUUGUCUGAUUUAGCAUAUUUUUGCUUUUUAAUGUAAUUCAUUUCUGCACUGCUGAUCUUAUUCUGUAUUGAAACAGCACAUUUGUGCAUGAUUCAAGUUCGUUUCUGGAAACCAGUUUCAAUAACUUUCAUUUAUUUAAACUAUUAAAAUAGUUUAAAAUACAGAGAACAGUACCACUCUCGCUUUCUAUUCAAAUUGCUGCUCUAACCAUUGAAAUAAGCUUGAAAUAAAGUAUCUUGGGUUCUGCUUGACCUGAUUCAAUGUAACACUUAAAAAGUAGAAUUACUGCGAAGAUAGAUGCAUUCCCUAUUUGGCUCAGGCUAUUGAAAUGGGAAUGGUAUGAGUUUGCCACAGCUAUUAAUAUGAUAUUAAUCCAGGGUAUAUUAUAUAUUGCUUUAAAGUCUUAUCGGAAGGACUGGAUAUCCUUUUGUAAUGUGUUCCUUUGCUUUUUCUGUACACUGAUAUUUUGUAGACGAGCCAUUGCUCAAUAUGUAAAGUCUAAAUGGCCCUUCUUAUUCGAUCAAGUGUGAUGUUAUUGAAUGCCUUACAAAGAGGCUGUAUCCUCUGCACAUUAAGUUUGAGUCUGGUGAUUAUUAAAAAAUCCAGACUUUUCAGAUGCUAAAUAUGUGCUCUAUCUUGCAAGCUAAAAAUGGUAGACUCCUGACAGUUUUGGGCUGUUGAGGCUAAAUGACUCUCUUAUGUCCAUCCUUCUCUCUUUUGUCCAUAUGGUUUCUGUGUUAGAUCCAAAUUCUUAGCAGUAUUAAAUACCUCUGUGGAUCCAGAUGGCUAGAAAGCACAGUCCUAUUUUCUGAAUCAAGGCUCUUUGUUAUUUUGAUUUUACCUAUAGAAUGUCACUGUAGAAAUAAUAGUUCUUAACAUGGUGGUAGCUUAUUUUAGGUCUUCGAUUUGCUGUAGAAACUUUCAUCAGUUAUUUUUAAGUAGUUGUGUGCUAUAACCUUGGAUUGCUUAAGGUUGCUUCUACCUUUCUUUUUCUAUAGGUGCAUUUUCAGAUGCACAAAGUUUUUAAAUCAUUUAUGUUAGCAAUAAUUUCUGUGAUAUCUCCUUGCUUCCAUGUAAGCUUGUAGUUCGAGAAAUUUUUUUGUUAAUUUCUUUUCUUCUGGUGGGAAUUUCAUAAGAAAAUUGCACAAACCCCAGAGAAUUAAAUUCUCGUCUGUUUUUAUGAAUAUUUUCUCUCUUUCUGUCCUCUAAUUUUUUAUUAAUUUAUUUUUAAAAGAAAUAAUUCUGCGUCUUGUUUAUCGACCUGUAUUGGCAGCGUGUUGAUGAGAACUUUAUUUCCAUGGUCUAGUCACACUGAGAUAAUUAAAACUAAAUAGGUCCACUCCUGUUUCUCUGCGCUCAGUUCAUUCAGUUCAGUACAUUGUCAACAGAGGCACUGUUUGCUUCAGUCCUUCACCCUGUCCAGUGUUCAGCUUCUAAUUCAUCAAGAUUAAUAAUAAUCAGAGAGCUCCCACAUUGAGUAAGAGGAUAUUGAUUGCCAUUAAAAUGUUGGAUUGUGUCUUAAGAAUUCUAGUUUUGCUCCUUACUGUCACAGCACCUAAUUGAAUUUGGAUGGAUAAAACUAUUUCUAGGCUACAUCUGACGUAUGAUGGUGCACCAGAGCCCUUACUUUUUUAAAUAUAUAAGCCCUCUGGAAUAGGGAACAUUAGAAAAAAGUUAGUGGGGUUCCAAGAAAAAUUAUCUUAUUUUGGAAGAAAUGCAGAUAUACUUAAAAAAAAAAAGGAAAAAGAGCUAAUAAAUGCGGAUGCUGAAACAUAAAUAAUGCAUAAAAAUGGUCAGAAAAAGCAAAACUUCUAAUUUGAUUUUUUACAAUGUUUAAAAUGUGGAAAGUGAAAUGUAUGCAGAUUAAACUGUUUCAGAAAGAGGUUAUUAAAUACAAGUGUCAAUUGGUUUUAUUUGGUUAGGUUGUUCAUAAAAUUGACUGCAUGUCUGUCUAUGUGAACUUGCUGAAAAAGCUUGAGAACUCUUUAGCCUUUCAUGGGGUGGUCCUUUUCCAUAAAUUUUGUGGCUUCUGCAUAUAUGGGGGAAAAUAUUCAUUUGAUCCACAUCUUCAUGCACCAAUUCCAGAACGAAGAUGGAAAACUUACUUGUAUUCAAAUUGGAAAAAAAAUAGCUCUAUCAUAAUGUAAGAAAGCUUAGUGGAACCACCACGGGGAAGAGCAUAAAUGAUGCAUAAUGGAUGUAGUUCAAUACAAAAAUAAAUGAAUGAAAAUAAUAUUAUUUUGUACCUUUCAGGUUUUGGUUGUAACCUUCUCUGGGAAUUGCUAAUUAUGUUGCAGUGACUGGUAAUAUUGCAAGUUUAUUAUUAGUGCAAUUUUAAUUGUCUCCAUACAAUAAGAAAAUGGGUACAGAGAUGUCAGAACUGGUAAACAGAAAAUUGAAGCUGUGUUGUGGAAUGAAAUAAGGCUUGAAUUCAGCUUACACGUUAAACUGCUUUUGAAAAAUUAGUCAGCAAAACCAUGGACUUAUUUCAUGGAUAAACUGGACCUAAACCUUGCAGAUUCCUGCUCAAAACUAUUUUAAGAACACUGCAAUAGCUUCUUCCUUUGUGCUGUCUAAAAGUGUAGCUAAAUAUGUAUACAACUAUCAAACAAAUUGAAGAUGUGUCAAAAAAACCCCAAAACGUAGUCAAAUGUUUAAUACCCCAGCUACAGUUAUUUGAAAACCCUUCUCCCUUUGUAUCCCUUGUUACCAUUUGUAAAUUCCAACUCUUCCUUUUACAGGCAGCGGCUCAGACCACUCCUUUGCACUUACCACAUUUCCUCUUUUAAAGAUUGACAGGUAGUAUGUAGAGAGAAACAGAUUACAACAUUAAAUCUGCAUGUGUGGUUUUAUUUUGAAACUGGUGGAAAAUUAAAAAAACCACCCAAACUCAAACCAACAAAACAAACAAUUCACUAACAACUGAAUGGUGGCUCUUUUGCUUUCCAUUUCCAGCCAGAGAGGAUUUCAGCCACAUGCCAGUGGUUGUGUGAGGGUUGCAGAGCCAACUUGGGAAAUGGAGAUCAGAUUCCUUCGUCUAAGCCAGUUUAGGGACGAGGAGCUCAGAGGAUGGAGAAAGGCACAUGGUGGUUAUGUAUCCACCCUGGCAGAGCAGGUAAUGGGCAGCAGGACAUCUAAGACCCACCUCACUGAAAACUGAAACGCAAGAGGAGGGAGCUCUGCAGGAGGAAAUCUGCUGCAUUACCUAUGAACAGGACAAUGGCCCCCAAUGAGUCACCCUAUUCAUAUAUUUUUGGAACCCAGAGGAAUUGGUUUGACUAUUUACAGAUUAUAACAGUUGGUAGUUGAAUGUUUUAUUUUCAUUCCCAGUUGGUACAAUAUGUUCACAGCUGAUGCUAAUGGCUUGCCCAUUUGAUAUCACAUAUGGUCCACUAUUUGGGUCUCCUAAAGCUUUCUUUUGUGGUCAGGCUGCUUUAAAACUUUCAUAUAUUUAGGUUUGUUUUGUCUGCUGGAAAGGUGACUAAGAAACUCUGAAACUUGGCAGCUUUAGAGUAAAUCAGCAAUUCUGUUGAUAAAGAUUCAAAGAAUUUGUGUCUAAAUGUCCAGUAAAGAAUAUUUUUAUAUAAAAAUGCCUUACAGCAUCAUGUGAAAUUUUAAAAGAAAUGUCCUUUCCUUGUCUUUGAAGCUGUGAUUGACUUACCUUCCAAUGUAUUGGCACCAUUGAGUGUCAUCAGGACUACUUUUUCUGGGUGUUCUGUUGCCUUGGAAAACAAUUUAUGCAUAAUUUGUAUUGCUUAAAUCACUAUUUGUAUUUCUAUUUGAAUAUUAAUGUUCUGGUAAUGUUUUAUGAAAAGAGAAGAUUUGAAAAAGCAAACCAUUUUUUCCUUUGGUUUCUAGAAUAAGACCAUAAAAAAAGUAAACCAAAAAAAUAUGAGAACAAAAAUUAAAAUUGCAAGCCUGUCUGAAGUUAUUCUUCUAUGGUACAGAAGUGUUUAUAGUGACUCUAAAACAUAACUGAUAAAGCCAGAAUCUCAUAAAAAUAUUAUUUCCAAAACUAUUGCAUUACCCUCUGAGAGGUGAAAUUCUCAUUUAUUCGUAGGAGUAGAUCAUAAUAGCUCUAAUUCCCUGAGAAGUGGGCAUUGUAUGAUAAUUAAGCAGGGUAGUACAUUAAUUGUCCUCCACUUCACCUCUAGAUGUUUAAUUCCUUAUCUAGUCAACUAGAAAACAAUAAUGCUCACUUAUUUGUGCCUUACUGUUCAAAUAAUUUUUCUAACUGGGUAAUUUAUUUGAAAUAAAGCAGAAUAAGCAUAUUCAUGUGAAAGGGACAUUCAAAUCAUGUUAAAUUAACAUAUUAAAUGCCAUUAGGUGGUAGGAUGUGGGGUUUAUGGUUGUAUUUUUUCAGCCAUGCAACUUUAGCUGAAUAACAGCAAUGUGAUUUUGCAUGCAGGAAUAUUUCUCUAACUAGUGGGACAGAUUUGGCAGUUCUUGCCAUGUGACUACUGCUUUCUUGCAGCCUCUCUCCCAUCAAUGUUAGGAGAGCAGGUAUGUGUGUGUUGGAAGUAGUGCAUGUGUGUGUGACAUUUGGCUCCUGUGGCUGGAUUAAAUGAGGCAGCUUGGUGGUAGGACAGAGGCUCUGGCUUGUUUAGUUUAGGAUGAAAUUGUGCAUGUUGCUGGCUUAUAGUCAGUCCCUGAAAGCAGAUUGAAAUGGAACUGAAGUAGGAGGCUUUUUGAAGUGAAUAAACUCAGUAUGCAACCUGGAGCACUAGGGAAAAAAAGCCCAACUAAACCCAAAGUUUUUGGAAAUUAAACUAAUAGAUAACAUGCACAGACAGGAUCGUAUCUGAUUGCUCCUUAGAGAAUGAUAUGCUUCCUGGGGGAUUUUUUCCCUCAUUUGUUAAUAAUUUAUUGUUAUUAUAAUAAUUAUUGUUAUUAUUAUAUCACCCAAAACAUGUGAGUGCUCCAGCAGAAGUGUCUUCUGUGAUAUUUCCCUUCUCUCUGGGCUCAUGCAGCAGGGGUGAGUGGUCAUGUUAGGCAUUGCCCUGCCACUGGGGUCUCCUUCCAAGCACAGCAGCUGCCUAAGCACUGAUGCUUCUAGAGGCAGCUUGUGCUUCUUGUGCCUCUGGUGGCUGUUACCCACUCUGGGCCAAUGCUGAAGCUGUAAGUCAGACCCUUCCAAAAUACUGACCUCCCCCUCUGCCCAACCAAUCCUUUCCUUCCCAAAGCAAUAAGAUCUUUGCUGCUAUCUACUAAAUAUACUUCUUGUUUUGACUGAGGAACAACCUGAGGCUAGAGCUUUCUGAGGGGAAGACCGUGUGGAAAUGGUUUGCUCAGCCACCCUAGACCCAGUGUGGAAGGUACGAGGUGGGAUGGACUUGAUGAAGGCAGCCUCAACUUGGAAAACAGUUGAUUAGGAAAAUAACAUCAAGUUGUAAUUUAUCAGCUCUAGAUGUAUUUUAGGGAGUUGUCUCUCCUGAAAGGGAUUAAAUUACAUAUAGUGUUAACACAGAGUCUUCUGCAACAAUGUAAAUGAGUUGUUAACAUGGCACUUCAUUGCAAUAAUAAUUCAAAGCUAGUAGCAGGCUUGAUGGGUCUGCAAUAAAUGUUUUAUUAUUUAGAAAAAAUAUACUCUACAAGUUGCAAUGUGCCAUGCUCAUUCAUGCUGUAAAUCAACAAAGAUCAGCAGACUGAAUAGGGAAAAUGAAAAGCUUAUUUAGGAACUGACACAAGCUUUCAGAUGAGCAGGGAUGGCUGAAGUUAACUGCAUUCAUUUUUCUUUGCUUGUCACAGUUGCCACUCGAAUUUCACCGCUAAAGAUUGUGGGUAGUUUUGCUUUAUGAAAUUAUAUCUAUGAAAACAGUAUUUGCAUUUAUAUAGGCUUAGUUAUAAUAAAGUUAAACCUAGCACACCCUCUUGCCUCUGCAAACAAACAAACCAACCAGCCAACGAGAAACUUCAAUGGUAAAAUAAUAUUUAUUUCUCAGUUUUCCUGGAUCUGAAUAGGAUUCAGCUAAAUGGUUCUCACUGGCUGCUUUAAAGGCCCAAAGUUGGUGAUCAGGUGAAAUGCAGGAGUGCAGAGCUACGGUCACCCCUUCAGCUUCAGCUCUCCUGUAAGGCUACCUCCCUCCUCAGAAGCAUUGGGUGAAAGGAAUGGGAGACUAGCAAUUAACCUGGUCCUCAUGGUGUGGUUAUAAAGUGCCUGAAAUUGGCUCCAUUACCAUACUUUUGUCUCUCCUAACACCUGAAGACUCUCUUGAAGUUUGCAGGAUGGAAAAUGCAGGUCCUGGAUGCUGAAUAUUGGCUUGUCCUGAAAGCAGUACAUUUGAACAUGGAGUAAAACCCUUUGCAAAUUCUCUACAUUUAUGUCCUUAAAGAGAUGUGACUACCAUGGCUGAUCAGGGGAAGGCAGAACCAGGACAAGAAGACAAGCGAGUUAAGGUAAUGCAUCCCAUGCCUAUGUAGACUUGAAAAGGACAAGGUUUUCUAUGCCAGCUUCAGAAAUUAUUCCCCCUGCUACUCCUAAACCCCAGAAAGGAAUGAAGUGAACAUGAAAAUACUUUUUAAAGCUUUUGUCUGAUGAUGCCACACCCCUGGUUGUGGGUCUUCAAAGGGAAGAGCUGCUUUUUGCAUGGCAAUUAAGCUGGACCUGCCCAAUGAGGAUGGCAACAGGGACUGAGCACAUGAGGAGAAUGCUUCUGAACCAGACUGGGGUAACUGUGCACAAGCCUCUGACUGCAACACUGUCCUGAGAAAGCUGCCUAUGGAUGGAGGAAACAGUAGAUGAAAAGCCAGCAGAUUUCUGUUCAGGCCAAAGAUAAAAGGAUACAUGUUACUUUGGAGGAAUUUUGCCUCACAGAGUUGUAAUAUCAACAGGGUGCUGGAAACAUCUCUCAACUUGUGUGGGGAGCUUCAAUCCUGUACCUGAUGGGAAGGAAGGGAAGAGGAAACACUGACUAGACCUUUCUCCAGUUUGUCCUUGGAACAGUUUUCUUUGAGAGAAAGGCAUUUUUCAUUGCAGACAAUUGGUAAUGGUCAACUGGACAAGAUAGUGCUACAGGCAUGCAAUGCUGCACAGUGUUGUCAGAAACAAAGAUUACAGAAGUCAUCUUCUGGACAAAUUACACCACAGGGGUGAACAGAACACACCAGGGGUAUCCCAUGGCAAUGAGAUACCCCUGCUCAGAUACCCUAGCUGAUUCAGCUGGCCACCAAGUCAAAUGGAAUAGAAGAUGCCAUCAGCAUGAUUGUAAGUCACAUGAGGAGCAGCUGAAGGAGCUCAAGUUGUUUAAUCUGGAGAAAAGGAGGGUGAGAGGAGACCUUAUCUACAACUACCUGAAAGGAGGUUGUAGUAAGGUGGGGGUCAGCCCUUUCCCCCAGGCAACCAGCGACAGGACAAGAGGAAGUGGCCUCAAGCUGUGUCAGGGGAGAUCCAGGUUGAACAUCAGGAAGGAUUUCUUCACUGAAAGCGUGGUCAAAUGUUGGAAUGGACUGCCCAGAGUGGUGGUAGAGUCACUAUCCUUGGAAGUGUCCAAGAAAUGACAAGAUGUGCCACCUAGUGCUAUGGUUUUGUUGACAAGGUGGUGUUUGGUCAAAGGUUGGACUUGAUGAUCUUGAGGUCUUUUCCACCCUUAAUGCUUCUCUUAUACUUGCCUCCUAGAUGGUAAGUACCAGCUGUCUCAGGACACCACUGAUGUCUUGGUGAAGCUGCUGUGAUUGGGAAGUCCCACAGCCACUUCUUGGCCUUCCACAACAGGUCUUAGUGUGCAGCAAAAGGAAGGAGAUUUAUGCUUAGAUGAUGUUAGGCUGGUGGAAUGUUAGUGCAGGAUGCUCCAGAAAGGCUGAUUACAAUGGGCUUUUUCUCUCUAGCUAAAGAAAUCCUUUACUAGAAAGCUGGGAAGGAGGAGGCUGAUAUUCAGAAACAUAG
Long non-coding RNA from Pseudopipra pipra, 10761 nucleotides. RefSeq lists it as uncharacterized. The record is from RefSeq and is a predicted model, not a curated record. The transcript has 4 exons. NCBI's taxonomy places the organism in Eukaryota, Metazoa, Chordata, Aves, Passeriformes, Pipridae.